Molecule: long non-coding RNA, 1428 nt
Organism: Cyprinus carpio (common carp)
Lineage: Eukaryota; Metazoa; Chordata; Actinopteri; Cypriniformes; Cyprinidae
Source: Ensembl
GAAAGAUUCCUCCAGAAAGAAAGUCGGGGACCUUUACUUUUCUAGAAGAAAUAAAUACAUUAUUGGCUCUGAAGGACGUGGCACAGUAUAUCUUGGCCUGAAGGAAGAUGGCACUGAGGUGGCCAUUAAACGAAUAAUUAAGGACCAACAGGAAAGCAAAUACUUUGAAAAUGAACUUAAGCAUCUACGAGAUUUAAAUCUUGAGAGUAAGAACAUUGUCAGGUACGUGGACUUAGCAGAGGAUGAAGACUUUUAUUAUCUUGCACUACAGCUUUGUGAAUAUGAUCUAGAGGACUACAAUGAAAAACUUCAAGUUCUUCACCGUGCUGAAGUGAUACAUCGCGAUAUAAAGCCUGGAAAUGUUUUGAUAGAUUCAGGAAAAAAUGCAAGGCUGGCUGACUUUGACUUAAGUAGUAAACUGGAGGAGGGCAGAAGCACAGUGCAUACUGCUAGAGCUGGUACACAAGGCUGGGAAGCUACAGAGAUCCUGAAUCAAGAAGAAACAGUUUACAAGAUGAGCUCAGACAUCCAGAAAAGAGGCAGUCCUUAGGAAGCUGGGAGAUAGGCCUGAAAUCCAGAACUAUGAGACUUUAGCAAAACUUCACAAACUCUACGUAGAGAAAGGGCACUCAGAGGGAACAGACCCAGCAGCAACACUGACCAUCAAUGAGGCCUUCAGUGAACUGAAAAUCGAGAACGAAAAGAAGUAAGUUCUAAGUUAUUGAAAGAAGUCACUUUUGCUCAUGAAGGCUGCAUUCAUUUGAUCAGAUAUGGUAAAACAAAUAUUGUGAAAUAUUUUUAGAAUUUAAUAUAACAUUUCUCUAUUUUUAUACAUUUUAAAAUAUCAUUAAUUCCUGCGGUUCAAUCAGUAUCAUUACUCCACUCUUCAGUGUCACGUGAUCCUUCAGAAAUCAUGCUAAUAUGGCAAUUUUUUAUUUUUUUUUUGCUUAAAAAACAUUUAUUGUUAUUGUUGAAAACAGUUGCCUAAUAUUUUUUUUAUGAUAACCAUGAUACACCAUUCAAAAGUCUGGAGUAAGAUUUAAAAAAGGCGAUACUUUUAUUCAGCAAAGAUGCAUUAAAUUGAUCAAAAGUGACAGUAAAGACAUUUAUAAUGUUACAGAAGUUUUGUAUUUGUAUUUUUUUUUUUUUACUUUUAUAUUCAUCAAAAAUGUACCACAUUUUCCAGAGAAAUAUGAGGCAGCACAACUGUUUUCAACAUUAGUAAUAAUUAUAAAUGUUUCUUGAGCAGCAAAUAAUCAUAUUAGAAUAAUUUCUGAAGGAUUAUUUGUAAGUCGCUUUGGAUAAAAGCGUCUGCUAAAUGAUUAAAUGUAAAUGUAAAUGUAAAUGGAUUAUGUGACAUUGAAGACUGGAGUAAUGAUGCUGAAAAUUCAGCUUUGAUCACAGGAAUAAAUUACAUUUUAACAUACA